AGAGUUUGAUCCUGGCUCAGAAUCAACGCUGGCGGCGUGCCUAACACAUGCAAGUCGAACGCGAAAGCCCCGCAAGGGGUCAGUAGCGUGGCAAACGGGUGAGUAACACGUGGGUGACCUGCCUUCGAGUGGGGGAUAACGUCCCGAAAGGGACGCUAAUACCGCAUAACAUCCUGCCUUUGAACAGGCGGUGAUCAAAGCUGGGGACCGCAAGGCCUAGCGCUGGAAGAGGGGCCCGCGCCUGAUUAGCUAGUUGGUGGGGUAACGGCUCACCAAGGCGACGAACAGUAUCCGGCCUGAGAGGGCGGACGGACACACUGGGACUGAGACACGGCCCAGACUCCUACGGGAGGCAGCAGUGGGGGAAUUGUUCGCAAUGGGCGCAAGCCUGACGACGCAACGCCGCGUGGAGGAUGAAGACCUUCGGGUCGUAAACUCCUUUCGAUCGAGACGAAUGGUCCCUGGGCUAACAUCCUGGGGAAUUGACGGUACCGAGAGAAGAAGCCCCGGCUAACUCCGUGCCAGCAGCCGCGGUAAUAACGGGGGGGGGGCAAGCGUUGUUCGGAAUUACUGGGGCGUAAAGGGCUUCGUAGGUGGCCAACUAAGUCAGACGUGAAAUCCCUCGGCUUACCCGGGGAACUGCGUCUGAUUACUGGGAUGGGCUUGAGUUCGGGAGAGGGAUGCGGAAUUCCAGGGUGGUAGCGGUGAAAUGCGUAGAUAUCUGGAGGACACCGGGUGGGCGAAGGCGGCAUCCUGGACCGACACUGACACUGAGGAGCGAAAGCCCAGGGGAGCAACGGGAUUAGAUACCCCGGUAGU
Molecule: ribosomal RNA, 819 nt
Filed under: uncultured bacterium
Lineage: Bacteria
Description: bacterial SSU rRNA
Rfam family: Bacterial small subunit ribosomal RNA
Source: RNAcentral